ACUCAAAGGAAUUGACGGGGACCCGCACAAGCGGUGGAGCAUGUGGUUUAAUUCGACGCAACGCGAAGAACCUUACCAGGGCUUGACAUCCCUCGCUAUUUAUGGAAACAUGGAGUUCCAGCCUUCGGGUUGGACGAGGAGACAGGUGGUGCAUGGUUGUCGUCAGCUCGUGUCGUGAGAUGUUGGGUUAAGUCCCGCAACGAGCGCAACCCCUACUUUUAGUUGCCAGCAUUAAGUUGGGCACUCUAGAGGAACUGCCGGUGACAAACCGGAGGAAGGUGGGGAUGACGUCAAAUCAUCAUGCCCCUUAUGUUCUGGGCUACACACGUGCUACAAUGGCCGGUACAGAGGGUUGCGAAGCCGCGAGGUGAAGCUAAUCCCAAAAAGCCGGUCUCAGUUCGGAUUGCAGGCUGCAACUCGCCUGCAUGAAGUCGGAAUCGCUAGUAAUCGCAAGUCAGCAUAUUGCGGUGAAUACGUUCCCGGGUCUUGCACACACCGCCCGU
This 503-nucleotide ribosomal RNA is filed under the name uncultured bacterium. RNAcentral describes it as "partial 16S ribosomal RNA". It matches the Rfam family "Bacterial small subunit ribosomal RNA", at positions 899 to 1397 of the family's 1533-position model. The record is from RNAcentral.